This is a long non-coding RNA of Pistacia vera, 194 nucleotides long. RefSeq lists it as uncharacterized. The record is from RefSeq and is a predicted model, not a curated record. The transcript has 3 exons. Lineage: Eukaryota; Viridiplantae; Streptophyta; Magnoliopsida; Sapindales; Anacardiaceae.
GGAGCAGGUCGGUCUGAUACUCAGUCUGAUUAUUUUGUUUUUCAUUCUCCAUACAACAAGCUUCUGCAGAAAAGUUUUGCACGGCUGUACUUCAAUGAUUUCUUGAGGAAUUCCAGGGCUCGACGAAUGGCUGUAUGGUUUAACAAGAAGAUAAUUAUGUCAUAUUUGCUGAAGUCUUUCAGCAGACUACAAAG